This is a long non-coding RNA of Equus quagga, 410 nucleotides long. RefSeq lists it as uncharacterized. The transcript is spliced from 3 exons. The record is from RefSeq and is a predicted model, not a curated record. NCBI's taxonomy places the organism in Eukaryota, Metazoa, Chordata, Mammalia, Perissodactyla, Equidae.
AGAGGCUGGAGAGCCUUGAGAACCCAUCUCUACUCUAACCCCCGGCCGGGUCCACAGGCUCCUACAACUGGCUGAGAGGAAGGUCUUAGCUUUGUGAAACCUCGUUUUUUCCUUCGGAGAAGUGGGGACAAGAGCUGCCACGGAUAUCCCUGGUGUUAUGGAGUUUCACUGAAAGGGCAGGACGAUGAGAGGAAGACAUAGACAGUCGAGAGGAGAGAAGAGGAGAAACAUCUGGAAAACAUCAGUGUUGUGGAGCCUUCCGGAAACUGACCUCACCACCAAAAGGGUGGAACCUGUUCACUCCUGGAUGUUUAAGAAACACUCCAACAUCCUUUAGUCUGGCAUACGCUUGGAGUCACACCAACAAUCUAUUACAGACCACCUGAUACAUAAUAGCAACUAAGUUAGCA